RNAcentral lists this ribosomal RNA (253 nucleotides) under uncultured bacterium. RNAcentral describes it as "partial 16S ribosomal RNA". It matches the Rfam family "Bacterial small subunit ribosomal RNA", at positions 524 to 776 of the family's 1533-position model. The record is from RNAcentral.
UACGGGGGGGGCAAGCGUUGUUCGGAAUUACUGGGCGUAAAGGGCUCGUAGGCGGCCAACUAAGUCAGACGUGAAAUCCCCAGGCUCAACCUGGGAACUGCGUCUGAUACUGGAUGGCUUGAAUUCGGGAGAGGGAUGCAGAAUUCCAGGUGUAGCGGUGAAAUGCGUAGAUAUCUGGAGGAACACCGGUGGCGAAGGCGGCAUCCUGGACCGGCAUUGACGCUGAGGAGCGAAAGCUAGGGGAGCAAACAGG